This 475-nucleotide long non-coding RNA is filed under the name Scleropages formosus (Asian bonytongue). Its description in RNAcentral is "lncRNA (ENSSFOG00015026141.1)". The record is from RNAcentral. Lineage: Eukaryota; Metazoa; Chordata; Actinopteri; Osteoglossiformes; Osteoglossidae.
GCUCACGGCCAGCCAUCGCGAGAAAACGUCUCUUCGAAAGCCCCAGUUCUUUGUACAGCAGCUCAAGGGAUGAGCCCCAGAUCCAGGCCAUGUGGGGGGUUCUGCUGAGAUGACUGGCCUCCAUCCGUUUUGGAAAAACAAGUUCUGAGCAGGUGUGUUGGUGUGUUGAUGGAGGAAACCGCUUCAGGAGGUGACAUUCAAAGGCAGAAGCUCUAACCACUGCACCACUUUCUGCUCACCGUCAUAUGGUCUCUCCGAGGCACUUCUCCAGCAUCCUAAAAGCCUCAUCAGGACAAAGCAGUUGGGCGCACAGGCUGAGCCCCGCGAGCCAGGAGACGCCCCAGUACCUGGGAGACUUACGGGCCGCCAUGUUCGAUCCUGGAUCUCCAGUGUCAGCAUCUCAGUCAAACUGAUUCAGCAGCAACCUGAGGACCUGCUAGUCCUGCUACAGCUUUGUGGACAACAUGAAGUGGCG